RNAcentral lists this ribosomal RNA (146 nucleotides) under Salmonella enterica subsp. salamae serovar 58:l,z13,z28:z6 str. 00-0163. RNAcentral describes it as "partial 16S ribosomal RNA". It matches the Rfam family "Bacterial small subunit ribosomal RNA", at positions 1 to 136 of the family's 1533-position model. The record is from RNAcentral. Lineage: Bacteria; Pseudomonadati; Pseudomonadota; Gammaproteobacteria; Enterobacterales; Enterobacteriaceae.
ACUUAAAUUGAAGAGUUUGAUCAUGGCUCAGAUUGAACGCUGGCGGCAGGCCUAACACAUGCAAGUCGAACGGUAACAGGAAGCAGCUUGCUGCUUCGCUGACGAGUGGCGGACGGGUGAGUAAUGUCUGGGAAACUGCCUGAUGG